RNAcentral lists this ribosomal RNA (844 nucleotides) under uncultured Pseudomonadales bacterium. Its description in RNAcentral is "bacterial SSU rRNA". It matches the Rfam family "Bacterial small subunit ribosomal RNA", at positions 28 to 867 of the family's 1533-position model. Lineage: Bacteria; Pseudomonadati; Pseudomonadota; Gammaproteobacteria; Pseudomonadales. The record is from RNAcentral.
AUUGAACGCUGGCGGCAGGCCUAACACAUGCAAGUCGAGCGGAUGAAGGGAGCUUGCUCCUGGAUUCAGCGGCGGACGGGUGAGUAAUGCCUAGGAAUCUGCCUGGUAGUGGGGGAUAACGUCCGGAAACGGGCGCUAAUACCGCAUACGUCCUGAGGGAGAAAGUGGGGGAUCUUCGGACCUCACGCUAUCAGAUGAGCCUAGGUCGGAUUAGCUAGUUGGUGGGGUAAAGGCCUACCAAGGCGACGAUCCGUAACUGGUCUGAGAGGAUGAUCAGUCACACUGGAACUGAGACACGGUCCAGACUCCUACGGGAGGCAGCAGUGGGGAAUAUUGGACAAUGGGCGAAAGCCUGAUCCAGCCAUGCCGCGUGUGUGAAGAAGGUCUUCGGAUUGUAAAGCACUUUAAGUUGGGAGGAAGGGCAGUAAGUUAAUACCUUGCUGUUUUGACGUUACCAACAGAAUAAGCACCGGCUAACUUCGUGCCAGCAGCCGCGGUAAUACGAAGGGUGCAAGCGUUAAUCGGAAUUACUGGGCGUAAAGCGCGCGUAGGUGGUUCAGCAAGUUGGAUGUGAAAUCCCCGGGCUCAACCUGGGAACUGCAUCCAAAACUACUGAGCUAGAGUACGGUAGAGGGUGGUGGAAUUUCCUGUGUAGCGGUGAAAUGCGUAGAUAUAGGAAGGAACACCAGUGGCGAAGGCGACCACCUGGACUGAUACUGACACUGAGGUGCGAAAGCGUGGGGAGCAAACAGGAUUAGGUACCCUGGUAGUCCACGCCGUAAACGAUGUCGACUAGCCGUUGGGAUCCUUGAGAUCUUAGUGGCGCAGCUAACGCGAUAAGUCG